CCCUACGGGGGAGAGGUGGGUUCCCGCGUGCAGAUUAACGAUUACGUGGCUAAGCUGGUUUCCGGCGAGACGGCGUCCACGAUGGUCUCGCUGGUGAUGGUCGUCUUUUACGCCCUUCUCAUGCUCCGGUAUAAUGUGCUCCUGACAGUGGUGGGCGUUCUGGUGGCACUUCUGAAUGUGGUGGCCCUGCGAGCUCUGUCUCGCAAGCGUGUGGAUGGUAACCGCCACCUGCUCCAGGAUCAAAGCAAACUGAUGGGCAUCUCCCUCGGGGGCCUGCAAAUGAUGGAAACCCUCAAAGCCAGCGGCAUCGAGAACGACUUCUUCGCCCGAUGGGCCGGCUAUCAGUCCAAGGUGUUAAGCGGCCAGCAGGAAUUGGCGGGAGGGC
RNAcentral lists this ribosomal RNA (385 nucleotides) under uncultured prokaryote. Its description in RNAcentral is "partial 16S ribosomal RNA". The record is from RNAcentral.